This is a small nucleolar RNA of Python bivittatus (Burmese python), 134 nucleotides long. Lineage: Eukaryota; Metazoa; Chordata; Lepidosauria; Squamata; Pythonidae. The record is from RefSeq and is a predicted model, not a curated record.
AAGCACUACCUUUGAACCUGAUUGGCCUCUUACAGCUUCUCAGGCCAAGUAACAGUGCUAGACUGUAAGGGCUUGUUACGAUGGGCCUCUUCUGCUCUCAGCUGAGCUGCUCUCUUAAAAAGCAAGGAACAUCU